GACGAACCGUGCGAACGUUAUUCGGAAUCAUUGGGCGUAAAGCGCACGUAGGCGGUCCGGUAAGUCGGGAGUGAAAUCCCUCGGCUCAACCGAGGAAGUGCUUUCGAAACUGUCGGACUUGAGUAUGGAAGAGGGUCGCGGAAUUCCCGGUGUAGAGGUGAAAUUCGUAGAUAUCGGGAGGAACACCAGUGGCGAAGGCGGCGACCUGGGCCAAUACUGACGCUGAGGUGCGAAAGCGUGGGGAGCAAACAGG
This 253-nucleotide ribosomal RNA is filed under the name uncultured bacterium. RNAcentral describes it as "partial 16S ribosomal RNA". It matches the Rfam family "Bacterial small subunit ribosomal RNA", at positions 524 to 776 of the family's 1533-position model. The record is from RNAcentral.